RNAcentral lists this ribosomal RNA (423 nucleotides) under uncultured bacterium. Its description in RNAcentral is "bacterial SSU rRNA". It matches the Rfam family "Bacterial small subunit ribosomal RNA", at positions 506 to 926 of the family's 1533-position model. The record is from RNAcentral.
UGCCAGCAGCCGCGGUGAUACGUAGGGUGCGAGCGUUGUCCGGAUUUAUUGGGCGUAAAGGGCUCGUAGGUGGUUGAUCGCGUCGGAAGUGUAAUCUUGGGGCUUAACCCUGAGCGUGCUUUCGAUACGGGUUGACUUGAGGAAGGUAGGGGAGAAUGGAAUUCCUGGUGGAGCGGUGGAAUGCGCAGAUAUCAGGAGGAACACCAGUGGCGAAGGCGGUUCUCUGGGCCUUUCCUGACGCUGAGGAGCGAAAGCGUGGGGAGCGAACAGGCUUAGAUACCCUGGUAGUCCACGCUGUAAACGGUGGGUACUAGGUGUGGGGUCCAUUCCACGGGUUCCGCGCCGUAGCUAACGCUUUAAGUACCCCGCCUGGGGAGUACGGCCGCAAGGCUAAAACUCAAAGGAAUUGACGGGGGCCCGCAC